CUCAACAGAACGGAGUUGUGCCAAUGAUAGUCAAGGAAGCCAUCAUAAGGCUGAGAAAUAAGAAAUAAACAGUCAGAUACAUCGGCCAAACAAUAGGCUUGCCCAAAAAAGCCAUUUGGAACAUAUAAUAAAAAACCGAGCUAUAGAAAGGCAAGAUUUACAAUCGGCAUAGGUGUUGCAUUCAUUUUCCAGCCUACAUCCCUGCUUGUCCCACCCACUUGCCUGUUUUCCACACAGAGGGAGAAGGAGGCUGUUGCUCUUCCUGGUGUGUGGAGGAAGAGAGGCAGGUGAGCUGACAGGAUAGACAGGUAUGGGACUUUCACUCUCACGGUUUCUUUCACAGGAUCUUUCUGCGGCUUCCGUUGUGUUCCUCUGAUAGAUUUCUUCAAAAGGAAAGUAUGUUUUUCGGUCAUUUACUUUGCCUUUUGUUAUUAUUUUGUUAACAUGAUGUUUUUUCUUUCGUGAAAUGAUCUUGUUGUAUACGCGUGUGGCUGUUCCACUAUUGUUGUAAUAUCAGGAAGUGGAACCAGGCAAAACAGGCAAGCUAGAAGAGUAAAAUUAUCUCCUUUAGUCUUAAUAAAGAUUUCUUUUUAAAAUAAAUAGAUAAAUAAGGAAAUAAUUGGUAACAUUCAUUGGAAUGAAAGGUGUCAAAUAUUUAAUCAGUUUCCAGUAUUUCUUGUCUGGAAGCUUUAAAUGUAAAGAGAUACAAUGCUUAUAGUUAUAUUAGAUUUUUAAAUGUAUUUAUUUUAUUAAUAUUGUAUGGCAUUAUCUCAAAGCACGUACCGUAUGAUUUGUUGCGUCACAUUCUGUCCCCUUUUUGGUUGUUUUCUUUGUGCUCUGUGUGCUUUCUGCGCUCUUGUUUUCCCUUCCUCCCUAUUACGUGUCUCCACCAUAUGUGAAUUUCUUUCCUGUCAAUUGUCUCACCUGUUUCUCAUUGUCUUUUGUCAGUGUUGCUUAAAAGCCUGGCUAUGUCUGUCUGUCUUUGCUUUGUUUUGUGUCUUGCUCAUAUGCUUGGUCCCUGUAGUGCUAGCCUCUGGUUUCCCUUGAUUAUCUGUCUGUUCCUUUGCCCUGUUUUGAGUUGGGGUUUUUUUUGGAGGGGUUUCUCGUUCUGCCUGCCUGCUCAGUGUUCUGACUCCCUUUGUGUACCUCGACUACGUUUCGGAUUAACCUUUGUUAUUACCGGUUUGCCUACUCUCGACCCCUGCCUGCCUUAUCUCUUGUCCUGCAUUAAAGCCUGCCAUUUCACUUCAUCAUUUAGUCUGCUUUCGGUUCUUCAGUCCUCAACUGUGGCAUGUUGUUUUGCAGCAGGGGCAUGUACACAAGUUUGGCGAAAUCCCUUUUUUGUUGUAGUUUAUAUUGACAUUCAAUUUCACAUUUUACUUCUCUUAAAUGCAGUAGAUUUUGCACACAAUCUCUGUCCUCUCUUUUCCAGAACUCCUAAAACUAUAAGGAGCCAUUGGAACCUGACCUCUGCACAAAAUAUGAAAAGAGCAGUGUCACGGGCACAUAUCCUUCAGGGAUUCCAGCAGCACUGCCAGGCACUGAGCAAGGAAAACAAUGCUGGGUACUCCAGGGAAUUUGAGGAGCUGAAUAAUGUGGGGCUGGGGCUUGCGACUACGGCUGGACAAUUGCAUGUCAACAAAGGCAAAAACAGAUACCCUCAAAUCCUGCCAUACGAUCAUUGUAGGGUGAGACUGGCCCUGCUGAACUCCCAGCUACAUUCUGACUACAUCAAUGCCAGCUAUGUCCCGGGUGGUGCGUCUGCCCAUGAUUUCAUCUGCACCCAGGGGCCCCUUCGGAGCACACGGGCAGACUUCUGGCGUAUGGUGUGGGAGCAGAAUGUUAGGGUUAUCAUCAUGGUAACCGCCUGUAUAGAAAACCGCGCAAUGAUGUGUGAGCCAUACUGGCCACAGGAAAGGGUGUCGGUGUGUUAUGGUGCAGUGCAGGUGACCACACUGUACCAGCAGCGAGGACCAGACUCCAUCAUCACUACCAUGCACCUGCGCCAGGCAGGCAGCCCGGCUGAGAGGAGAAUAACACAUUACCAAUACCCAGGCUGGCCAGAUCAAGGAGUUCCCGAAAACCUUGUCUCCCUUUGCGCCUUUGCUGAGCUUAUCCGGAAGCACCUCAACACCCUUCAACACAUUGGCCCCACCAUCGUCCACUGCAGUGCAGGGGUGGGGCGCUCAGGGGCCCUUGUGGCCCUGCUGUGGCUGAUGCAGCUAUGUGUGCGUGGUGUACCCCCAGAUGUGAGAGCGGUGGUCUACGAUCUGCGCAGACACAGAGUGAUGAUGGUGCAGAACCUGGGGUGCUUCUCAGCGGCAAGGACAGAGACUGAACUACUGAAGACUGGGGCAAUGGUUCACCUUUCAGCACAACAACGGCCCGAAGCAUACAGCCAAGACCACGCUGGAGUGGCUUCGGAACAAGUCUCUGACUGUCCUUGAGUGGCACAGCCAAAGCCCAGACUUAAACCUCAUAGAACACCUGUGGAGAGACCUGAAGAUGGCAGUCCAGACGCUUCCUAUCCAAUCUGACAGAACUUGAGAGAAUCUGCCAGGAAGAAUGGGAGAAAACUGUCCAAAUCAGAUUUGCCCAAGAAGACUCAUAGCUGUAAUUGCUGCCAAAGGGGCUUCUACAAAGUACUUAAUGGUCUAAAUACUUAUAUUAAUGAGAGAUUCCAGUUUUCGAUUUUUUACAAGUUGGCAAAAAGUUCUAAAAACACAUUUUCACAUUGCCAUUAUGGGUUAUUAAGUGUAGAUUGAUGGGCAAAAAUGGCAAGUUUAUCCAUUUAAAAUUACAUCUAAAACAUAAGGUGUGCAAGAAGUGUAUUUCACAAGAGUUGACUAACUUGCUAAUUGGUCGACUGGAAAAUGGUUGUGGCAGGUUGUUGUGAAGUGUCAGUAUGCCCCCAGUGUUUCGCUCUAAUGUGAUUGUGUGCACUGUCUUUCAGGAACAGUAUAUAUUUGUUCACGACUGCCUCAAGCACUGGCUGACUGUAGAGACAUCAGGACACAGACCCCGAGGCACACAGGAGAGUCGGGGUCCUCCGCCGGACAGAGAAAGGGAUACUCGGCGCUCGAGCCAGGAAGGCCACUCCUCC
RNA transcript from Conger conger (European conger), 3103 nucleotides. It is a transcript of the gene named receptor-type tyrosine-protein phosphatase V-like, with no coding region annotated. Lineage: Eukaryota; Metazoa; Chordata; Actinopteri; Anguilliformes; Congridae. The transcript is spliced from 10 exons. The record is from RefSeq and is a predicted model, not a curated record.